Molecule: transfer RNA, 73 nt
Filed under: Metopaulias depressus
Lineage: Eukaryota; Metazoa; Arthropoda; Malacostraca; Decapoda; Sesarmidae
Description: tRNA-Val
Source: RNAcentral
CAAAAUAUAGUUAAAUUAGUUUAACAUUUCAUUUACGUUGAGAAAAAUUAUCGUGCAAAUCGAUUUAUUUUGA